RNAcentral lists this ribosomal RNA (465 nucleotides) under uncultured bacterium. Its description in RNAcentral is "partial 16S ribosomal RNA". It matches the Rfam family "Bacterial small subunit ribosomal RNA", at positions 28 to 507 of the family's 1533-position model. The record is from RNAcentral.
GACGAACGCUGGCGGCGUGCUUAACACAUGCAAGUCGAACGGAAAGGCCCCCUUGUGGGGUACUCGAGUGGCGAACGGGUGAGUAACACGUGAGUAACCUACCCUUGACUUUGGGAUAACUUCAGGAAACUGGGGCUAAUACCGGAUAGGAGCUCCUGCUGCAUGGUGGGGGUUGGAAAGUUUCGGCGGUUGGGGAUGGGCUCGCGGCUUAUCAGCUUGUUGGUGGGGUAGUGGCUCACCAAGGCUUUGACGGGUAGCCGGCCUGAGAGGGUGACCGGCCACAUUGGGACUGAGGUACGGCCCAGACUCCUACGGGAGGCAGCAGUGGGGAAUAUUGCACAAUGGGCGGAAGCCUGAUGCAGCAACGCCGCGUGCGGGAUGACGGCCUUCGGGUUGUAAACCGCUUUCGCCUGUGACGAAGCGUGAGUGACGGUAAUGGGUAAAGAAGCACCGGCUAACUACGUG